Molecule: ribosomal RNA, 468 nt
Filed under: uncultured bacterium
Lineage: Bacteria
Description: partial 16S ribosomal RNA
Rfam family: Bacterial small subunit ribosomal RNA
Source: RNAcentral
GACGAACGCUGGCGGCGUGCUUAACACAUGCAAGUCGAACGGAAAGGCCCUGCUUUUGUGGGGUGCUCGAGUGGCGAACGGGUGAGUAACACGUGAGUAACCUGCCCUAGACUUUGGGAUAACUUCAGGAAACUGGGGCUAAUACCGGAUAGGAGCUCCUGCUGCAUGGUGGGGGUGGGAUAGUCUCGGCGGGUGGGGAUGGACUGGCGGCUUAUCAGCUUGUUGGUGGGGUAGUGGCUUACCAAGGCUUUGACGGGUAGCCGGCCUGGGAGGGUGAACGGCCACCUUGGGACUGAGAUACGGCCCAGACUCCUACGGGAGGCAGCAGUGGGAAAUCUUGCACAAUGGGCGGAAGCCUGAUGCAGCGGCGCCGCGUGCGGGAUGACGGCCUUCGGGUUGUAAACCGCUUUCGCCUGUGACGAAGCGGGAGUGACGGUAAUGGGUAAAGAAGCACCGGCUAACUACGUG